Paramacrobiotus metropolitanus is the source of this 1016-nucleotide long non-coding RNA. RefSeq lists it as uncharacterized. The transcript has 4 exons. The record is from RefSeq and is a predicted model, not a curated record. NCBI's taxonomy places the organism in Eukaryota, Metazoa, Tardigrada, Eutardigrada, Parachela, Macrobiotidae.
UGUCUUCCUACAACAAUCUGAUGCGCCUAAUGUACAGUACUCGUACUAUUUAACUGAUAUCAGCAAUUACGUAUCUGAUGACAGCAUCAAGCGCGAUAAUAAGUAACAUAAUCCAUACUCUAGUAUUACUAAACCUUAAGGUUUAGUAAUAUCAUGCGUAGUUAUAUCACAAAUGGGAAACACCUUGUUUAAUUCAGUCCGUUUCGACGGCUACGCUCGGCGCAUCUGAAAAAGGUUUAUUCGUUGGAUACUGUUUACACGAAAACAGCGUACGGCACGAAUGCCACAGAAUAGAAGCCAAGACCGACAUUGUACGAGCGCAUCCACUCCCGAACAUCAUAAUGAGAUUCCGCUGUCGAGAACAGCUCAAAAAGAGUGUAAUUUGCUCUGUCUAAGUUGACCUUCGCCCAUCGUUGUAAAACUUCGAAGCGGCUGGAAAACGAUCAGAUUACAAUGUAAUUUUGCGUUUCGCUCGUGUUGUACUCUUAAGGAGGAAGUCACAAUACAGCAACAAGCGCAGAGAUAUUACUAGUACUGCUGCGGUACAAUCGCCCUGCUGUCAUCGUCAGUGUGUUGUUAAGGAGCUGUACAGUACGUACCAUACACAUGCCUAAUCCGCAAGCACAGCAGACUGGACAAUCAUGAUGUGUCAAAUCUUCGCAGCCAAAUGUUAAUGGAAUAGCACGAUACGAAACCAAUCCCCAAGAAUGAUCACCCACUUGUUUUGCGAUUGUGAGGUUUUGCGAUUGUGAGGUUGCGAUUGGGAGAAAUGAUAUCUAUGGGCAAUUCCCUCUCUGGAAUAGCCUUCUGCUCUUAAUGCUGUACGCAGUCGUGCAGUUCUGUUAAAAGAUGGCGGAGCAAAUAAGACGACAUUCUUUGGCAGCUAAGAGUCGUGAUUCCAGGCCGUCUGCACGCCGUAUCAGUCAAACCCGGGUUACCUCCGUUCAGUGCUGAGCGUGAGGCAGUGGAAUUCUUUUAUCGGCGAGAACGCACUGCUCCCUCACUGCCUAAGCGAA